Molecule: long non-coding RNA, 801 nt
Organism: Ostrinia nubilalis (European corn borer)
Lineage: Eukaryota; Metazoa; Arthropoda; Insecta; Lepidoptera; Crambidae
Exons: 3
Source: RefSeq, a predicted model, not a curated record
GUCGAUUAUUUUGAUAUAAAGCAACUUUUUUAUACAGAUCAAUAUCAAUACGGCGCGGCGCCUUCACUAAUUUGGUGCAUUAGCAUCGAAGUCCUAUAAUUGAAUUUUGAAAAUAAUAAUGUUUUCAUUUAGCACUGCUGUAAACAGCUUGGGUCAGAGUGGGCCACCUUGUCUGACCCCCCUCUCUAUCAGGAAAGCAUCUCCCGUAAAUUCCAGCCGGUUACAAGUUUUACUUUGGCCGUAUAUAUUUUUGAUUGUGUUUACAUCAUGCCGCCUCGUCGAAAGUGCUGGGUCUGGUACUCACAUUGGUAGUAAUAACAUUAUUAGCCCAGACUCACAUAUUGGGAACGAUUGUAAUAUUGGAAGCAACAAUAUAAUUAACAAAAAAUCGUAUAUUGGGAACGAUUGUACUAUUGGGAACAAUGUAGUUAUAGAAAAUUCGCAUAUUGGAGACGGUUGUAAAAUUGCGAAUAACGAAGUUAUCACAAAUUCGCAUAUUGGGAGCGCUUGUAAUAUUGCUAACAACGAGGCCAUCACAAAUUCGUAUAUUGGGAACGGUUGUAAUAUUGAAAACAAUGUGAUUAUCUCAAAUUCAAAUAUUGGGAACUAUUGUAGUAUUGGAAACAAUGUAAAUGUCGUGGGAAGCCGAAUUUUGAAUAAUGUUAAUAUUAUGGUCAAUAGCAAGGUUAUUAACUCCUUUGUUGGCGAUAACGUUGUCAUUCCUGUAAAUUCUAUAGUGGUAAAUCGCUCGCAAUAAUGCUGUGAGAUUAAAUCUUGAAUUUGUGAGGCCCUGGGCUAAUC